CAAUAGCGUAUAUUAAAGUUGUUGCAGUUAAAAAGCUCGUAGUUGAAUUUCUGGCGGGCGCGCCGGUCUUCCAAGUGUUGUACUGGGCGCAGUCCGCCAUCCUUGUGGAGAGGGCUCGCAUUGAGUUGCGUGUCGGAUCUGCAUCAUUUACUGUGAAAAAAUUAGAGUGUUUAAAGCAGGCUAUCGCUUGAAUACGUUAGCAUGGAAUAAUAAGAUAGGACUUCGGUCUAUUUUGUUGGUUGCGAACCGAGGUAAUGAUUAAUAGGGAUAGUUGGGGGUAUUCAUAUUUAAUUGUCAGAGGUGAAAUUCUUGGAUUUAUGAAAGAUGAACAACUGCGAAAGCAUUUACCAAGGAUGUUUUCAUUAA
RNAcentral lists this ribosomal RNA (366 nucleotides) under uncultured eukaryote. RNAcentral describes it as "partial 18S ribosomal RNA". It matches the Rfam family "Eukaryotic small subunit ribosomal RNA", at positions 592 to 976 of the family's 1831-position model. The record is from RNAcentral.